UACGGGGGGAGCAAGCGUUGUUCGGAUUUACUGGGCGUAAAGGGCGCGUAGGCGGUCGUGACAAGUCACUUGUGAAAUCUCCGGGCUUAACUCGGAACGGUCAAGUGAUACUGUCGGACUAGAGUACAGAAGGGGCAACUGGAAUUCUCGGUGUAGCGGUGAAAUGCGUAGAUAUCGGAAGGAACGCCGGUGGCGAAAGCGACGCACUGGACCUCUUCUGACGCUGAGGCGCGAAAGCCAGGGGAGCAAACGGG
This 254-nucleotide ribosomal RNA is filed under the name uncultured bacterium. RNAcentral's name for it is "partial 16S ribosomal RNA". It matches the Rfam family "Bacterial small subunit ribosomal RNA", at positions 524 to 776 of the family's 1533-position model. The record is from RNAcentral.